This is a long non-coding RNA of Ixodes scapularis (black-legged tick), 508 nucleotides long. RefSeq lists it as uncharacterized. Lineage: Eukaryota; Metazoa; Arthropoda; Arachnida; Ixodida; Ixodidae. The transcript has 2 exons. The record is from RefSeq and is a predicted model, not a curated record.
AUAAUUUUAAUAUUGUUUGGUUGAGGGCUUUCAGUACCCUAAGAAGGCGUUCAAAGACCCCGAAGGGUCUACGGACCCCCAUUUGAGGACCACUGGUUUAGCCGAUGCAGAAUUAAUUGACCUUUUUAGGAAAUCGCCAGUUUAAGAGGUUCUGGUAUGAAAAUGCGAGCAUGUGCUCAAACAAGCGCAAGCACUGCUUCGACUGAGGGGGUCCUCAAACUGCAGGAGCAAAACCUCAAGCAGAUGAAGCUGAUCCAAAAGCUGGAGCUUGAAGUCAAACGUUGCUCUCUCAAGCCCCCUCUUGCUUCUCAUAAGGAAAACCUGUUUCCGUGAACUGCGCACUGAUCCGAUUUCGCAUACACCUGUCGCUGCUCCUAUUGUAAGCAUGCAGCCUUCAAGCCAAUUGGACUGGUAUUUAUUAUACCAGGAUUUUUACUGUCAUUUUAUUUUUAGAUUAUAUAUGUGAAUUUUUAAACGUGCAGAAUAAAAAGUAUAAGAAAACAUGGUA